GAUGAACGCUAGCUACAGGCUUAACACAUGCAAGUCGAGGGACCGGCGCACGGGUGAGUAACACGUCUACAACCUGCCCUUUACUCGGGGAUAGCCUUUCGAAAGAAAGAUUAAUACCCGAUAUAAAGGAUGGGGAUGCGUUCGAUUAGGUUGUUGGUGAGGUAACGGCUACCCAAGCCUUCGAUGGAUAGGGGUUCUGAGAGGAAGGUCCCCCACAUGGGAACUACGACACGGUCCAAAAUCGUACGGGAGGAAGAAGUGAGGAAUAUUGGGCAAUGGGCGCUAGCCUGAACCUGCCAAGUAGCGUAAAGGAUGAAGGCGUAUGGGUCGUAAUCUUCUUUUAUAUAAGAAUAUGUAUUAUAUGAAUAAGGAUCGGCUAACUCCGUGCCAGCAGCCGCGGUAAUUC
RNAcentral lists this ribosomal RNA (406 nucleotides) under uncultured bacterium. RNAcentral's name for it is "partial 16S ribosomal RNA". It matches the Rfam family "Bacterial small subunit ribosomal RNA", at positions 28 to 526 of the family's 1533-position model. The record is from RNAcentral.